Molecule: small nuclear RNA, 306 nt
Filed under: Canis lupus familiaris (dog)
Lineage: Eukaryota; Metazoa; Chordata; Mammalia; Carnivora; Canidae
Also listed under: 1 other name
Description: 7SK RNA
Rfam family: 7SK RNA
About the family: 7SK was discovered as an abundant small nuclear RNA in the mid-70s but a possible function has only recently been suggested.
Source: Rfam by way of RNAcentral
GGAUGUGAGGGCGAUCUGGCUGUGACAUCUGUCACCCCAUUGAUCGCCAGGGUUGAUUCGGCUGAUCUGGCUGGCUAGGCGGGUGUCCCCUUCCUCCCUCACCGCUCCAUGUGCGUCCCUCCCGAAGCUGCGCGCUCGGUCGAAGAGGACGACCAUCCCCGAUAGAGGAGGACCGUUCUUCGGUCAAGGGUAUACGAGUAGCUGCGCUCCCCUGCUAGAACCUCCAAACAAGCUCUCAAGGUUUUAAAAUCUGCCCACGUCUGGGGUGCCUGGGUGGCUCAGUCGGUUAAGCGUCCAAUCUUGAUU